CCCUUAGAUGUUCUGGGCCGCACACGCGCUACACUGAAGGAGGCAGCGUGUACUCCUGGAUCGAAAGAUUUGGGUAACCCGCGAAUCUCCUUCGUGCUAGGGAUUGAGGUUUGCAAUUAUCCUUCAUGAACGAGGAAUUCCCAGUAAGUGCAAGUCAUAAGUUUGCGCUGACUACGUCCCUGCCCUUUGUACACACCGCCCGUCGCUACUACCGAUUGAAUGAUUUAGUGAGGACUUCGGACUGGGACCGAUGCGGCUUUCGGGCUGCGUCGGUAUUCUGGAAAGAUGUCCAAACUGUAUCAUUUAGAGGAAGUAAAANUCGUANCA
RNAcentral lists this ribosomal RNA (327 nucleotides) under uncultured eukaryote. Its description in RNAcentral is "partial 18S ribosomal RNA". It matches the Rfam family "Eukaryotic small subunit ribosomal RNA", at positions 1470 to 1796 of the family's 1831-position model. The record is from RNAcentral.